Molecule: long non-coding RNA, 219 nt
Filed under: Carica papaya (papaya)
Lineage: Eukaryota; Viridiplantae; Streptophyta; Magnoliopsida; Brassicales; Caricaceae
Description: long non-coding RNA (CPAP_LNC010009)
Source: RNAcentral
AUGAACUUUAUAAUAUAACAUAUAUCACACCUUUACAUUUCAAUCAUCAGAAAACAGAUUUCCUCUUUUACCAGCCUACUAGUAUCCCUGGGGAUCCAUAAGGGCUCCCCUCUACACGUGAACCUUUAAUAUUUACAACCUGAUUCCAGGGUCGUCCCCAUACCCCGUCCGGUAUGGGCACCAAAACCAUGAACCUCAAUACCCGUCCGGUAUGAGGGU